UUCCGGUUGAUCCCGCCGGACCCGACUGCUAUUUGGGUGAGAAUAAGCCAUGCGAGUUGAAUGGAAUACCUAAAUUUUCCAUAGCAAACUGCUCAGUAACACAUGAUCAACUUACCCUAUAGAGAAAAAUAACCUCGGGAAACUGAGGAUAAUGUUUCAUAGUUGAAAAGGCUUGGAAAAGUUUUUCAAUCAAAGGGAUAAAAAAAAUGGUUUUUAUCCGCUAUAGGAUAGGAUCGUGGUCGAUUAUGGUUGUUGGUGAGGUAAUGGCUCACCAAGCCGAUAAUCGAUAGGGGCCGUGAGAGCGGGAGCCCCGAGAUGGGUACUGAGACAACGACCCAGGCCUUACGAGGCGCAGCAGGCGCGAAACCUCCGCAAUACACGAAAGUGUGACGGGGUUACCCAAAGUGUUCAGUUUUGAACUGUGGUAGGUGAGUAAUGUCCCCUACUAGAAAGGAGAGGGCAAGGCUGGUGCCAGCCGCCGCGGUAAAACCAGCUCUUCAAGUGGUCGGGAUAAUUAUUGGGCUUAAAGUGUCCGUAGCCGGUUUAGUAAGUUCCUGGUAAAAUCGGGUAGCUUAACUAUCUGUAUGCUAGGAAUACUGCUAAACUAGAGGGCGGGAGAGGUCUGAGGUACUACAGGGGUAGGGGUGAAAUCUUAUAAUCCUUGUAGGACCACCAGUGGCGAAGGCGUCAGACUGGAAUGUGCCUGACGGUGAGGGACGAAAGCCAGGGGAGCGAACCGGAUUAGAUACCCGGGUAGUCCUGGCCGUAAACGAUGCAUACUAGGUGAUGGCAUGGCCAUGAGCCGUGUCAGUGCCGUAGGGAAACCGUUAAGUAUGCCGCCUGGGAAGUACGGUCGCAAGGCUAAAACUUAAAGGAAUUGGCGGGGGAGCACCACAAGGGGUGAAGCCUGCGGUUCAAUUGGAUUCAACGCCGGAAAUCACUAGUGCGGC
This 950-nucleotide ribosomal RNA is filed under the name uncultured archaeon. RNAcentral's name for it is "bacterial SSU rRNA". It matches the Rfam family "Archaeal small subunit ribosomal RNA", at positions 1 to 937 of the family's 1478-position model. The record is from RNAcentral.